AUGUCAGCUCCUCAGGGCAGCAGCCCCUGCCUGUGCCACCACUCUGUCCCCCAGCCCCUUCUGGUCGCUGCUUCCCUCCUCCUCACACAUCCCAGCGGGGCAGGGACCUGGAAUUCUCCCGGAGGGAGACCUGUCCCCGAGGGAUGCCCUGGAGCGGGGCAGGGGCAGCCAGCCGUGUCAGAGCUGGUGGGGGUGAGAGGCCAAGGGACGAAACUGGGGAACAUUUCCAGUGGAGAGCAGAGGAGAGCAGAUAAACCCCGAAACCCCGCCCAGACUCAGCGAGCUCCGGCCCGUGGCAGGGGGUGUAGGGUUGGGAUGGAGCUGUGGGGUUGGGAUGGAGCUGUGGGGUUGGGAUGGAGCUGUGGGGUUGGGAUGGAGCUGUGGGGUUGGGAUGGAGCUGUGGGGUUGGGAUGGAGCUGUGGGGUUGGGAUGGAGCUGUGGGGUUGGGAUGGAGCUGUGGGGUUGGGAUGGAGCUGUGGGGUUGGGAUGGAGCUGUGGGGUUGGGAUGGAGCUGUGGGGUUGGGAUGGAGCUGUGGGGUUGGGAUGGAGCUGUGGGGUUGGGAUGGAGCUGUGGGGUUGGGAUGGAGCUGUGGGGUUGGGAUGGAGCUGUGGGGUUGGGAUGGAGCUGUGGGGUUGGGAUGGAGCUGUGGGGUUGGGAUGGAGCUGUGGGGUUGGGAUGGAGCUGUGGGGUUGGGAUGGAGCUGUGGGGUUGGGAUGGAGCUGUGGGGUUGGGAUGGAGCUGUGGGGUUGGGAUGGAGCUGUGGGGUUGGGAUGGAGCUGUGGGGUUGGGAUGGAGCUGUGGGGUUGGGAUGGAGCUGUGGGGUUGGGAUGGAGCUGUGGGGUUGGGAUGGAGCUGUGGGGUUGGGAUGGAGCUGUGGGGUUGGGAUGGAGCUGUGGGGUUGGGAUGGAGCUGUGGGGUUGGGAUGGAGCUGUGGGGUUGGGAUGGAGCUGUGGGGUUGGGAUGGAGCUGUGGGGUUGGGAUGGAGCUGUGGGGUUGGGAUGGAGCUGUGGGGUUGGGAUGGAGCUGUGGGGGGGGGGGGGGGGGGGGGGGGGGGGGGGGGGGGGGGGGGGGGGGGGGGGGGGGGGGGGGGG
Molecule: long non-coding RNA, 1092 nt
Organism: Ficedula albicollis (Collared flycatcher)
Lineage: Eukaryota; Metazoa; Chordata; Aves; Passeriformes; Muscicapidae
Source: Ensembl